RNAcentral lists this ribosomal RNA (180 nucleotides) under uncultured Glomeromycotina. RNAcentral's name for it is "partial small subunit ribosomal RNA". Lineage: Eukaryota; Fungi; Glomeromycota. The record is from RNAcentral.
GGAUCAGUAGGUUGGUCGUGCCACUGGUAUGUACUGGUCUCACUGGUUCCUCCUUCUUGUAGAACCGUAAUGCCAUUAAGUUGGUGUUGCGGGGAAACAGGACUGUUACUUUGAAAAAAUUAGAGUGUUUAAAGCAGGCUAACGCUUGAAUACAUUAGCAUGGAAUAACGGAAUAGGACU